CUAUGCUAUGGCCUCUAAAGUCUGUUUGGUUCCAACAGGUGACUCAACCCAAGAUUUGGGCCGCUCCACCUUGUGGUCAGGACUGCCAUGAGAUUGGAGGAGCCAGCCCUUGUUGCGCUUGUCACUGACUGCUGCCGUGAUUCUAGAAGUGUGUCUGUCUGCUUCUCUGGCUGUGUGGGAGAUGCACUUCACCUCGUGGCUCCACCCUUCAAAGGUUACAUUUGCUGCAUGGAAGAGCAGUUGACUCUGAUGAUAGGGAAUGUCUCAUUGUACCCCUUUUCCACACCAUCUGUCUGACCUGGACCCAUUCCAAACACUACGGCUUUGCUGGCAGAAUGGUCUUCCUGCUACAGAAGUUUUGUAAUCUACUAAUUGACAGGGCUGAGGGCAGAAGAAUCCCAGAGAAGGAAGUACCGUCAAAGUCAUGCUGUUCAAGUUGGCGUUUGUGGCUGUCCUCGUCUUGAAAUUGUGCUUUAAAAUUCAGAGUGAGUCAACUCCACGUCGGUGAGUGUGGUCGUGCUUACUGAUCCAGAUGGCAGCCCCAGAGCCUGGGCCUCUCCGCACAGAAGCUACAUGCACACGUUGGGGGCAGGGCACACGUGUGGCGUGAUGCUGAGCCUCUGGCCUCCACAGGCCCCUCUCUCAGUUGCAGCCCCUUCAACUUGUGCUGAACAACGCCCGGCAUGAGGAACGAUGAGAAUGAAAGAGGAUUUCUUCCCUACCUUUGAAAACUUCAAAGAAAUUUUCCCCAGUCUGGUUCUGAUGAUCCAUGUCUCAGUGCAAAGCAUACAUAAAAAUCUGAAAUCCGCACGCUGAUCAGAACUAGUUUUUGGAAAGUCGGAUUUAAUCCCAUGAGCCAAAUGAUCACUACCAACAGCGAUCAGGAAAAACCAAAGUCCACAGCAAAUUUUAAUUUGGCAAAUGCAUAAAA
This is a long non-coding RNA of Rhinolophus ferrumequinum (greater horseshoe bat), 931 nucleotides long. RefSeq lists it as uncharacterized. The transcript has 3 exons. The record is from RefSeq and is a predicted model, not a curated record. Lineage: Eukaryota; Metazoa; Chordata; Mammalia; Chiroptera; Rhinolophidae.